Non-coding RNA from Colletotrichum somersetense, 125 nucleotides. NCBI's taxonomy places the organism in Eukaryota, Fungi, Ascomycota, Sordariomycetes, Glomerellales, Glomerellaceae. The record is from the annotation of a GenBank genome assembly.
GGCAACUUGGCCGAGCGGUCUAAGGCGCCAGACUCAAGAGACGAAGUUCCACUUUCUGAUCUUCCCCGUAGCGGGGGUGUAUUCUGGUCUCGAAAGAGGCGUGAGUUCGAAUCUCACAGUUGUCA